UUAAAAUUUAAAUUAAUGUGUCACACCCCAAUAAUUCCAUGUCGGAUAAGAAUGGAGAUGUGCUUAGAUAUAUAUAAAAAACUUAGACAUUAGUAAUAAUAACUGGGCUUAAAUAUUUUGAGCCGAUGUUUUGGUCCAACUAGUUAUUAUUACUGGCAAGUUGGAUCGUUACAUUUGGUAUCAAAGCUGGUUCACCAGUCGAAAAUGUGUGGUGACUCUUGGCUGAGCAAGAAUCUGAAAAAAUAAGGUGAUAGACUAUACCGGAGUCUGAAUAACAAUAUAACUGACUAUGUCAGGGUCUAGAUAACGAGGCUAGUAAGAUGAGUCUCAUAUCACCUAGUGAUCUUAGACUGUGUGUGUGAUUGGACUGAUAAGAACGUCAGAACUUUAACGGGGGGAGUCUGUUACAUUUCAAUAAUCUCAUAUCGGAUAGGAAUGGAGAUGUGAUUGGAUAUAUAAGAGACUUAUACUGGAAUAAUAAUAACUGGACUAAGUCUGUUGAGCCGGUGUCCGGGCCGAACGAGUUAUUGCUUCUAGUGGGCUGAGUCGUUACAUAAUGCUUAAAUUAGAAUAAUUCUAAAAUUUCUAAAAUUAAU
This 596-nucleotide long non-coding RNA is filed under the name Ananas comosus (pineapple). RNAcentral's name for it is "long non-coding RNA (ACOM_LNC034451)". The record is from RNAcentral. Lineage: Eukaryota; Viridiplantae; Streptophyta; Magnoliopsida; Poales; Bromeliaceae.